This 483-nucleotide ribosomal RNA is filed under the name uncultured bacterium. RNAcentral describes it as "bacterial SSU rRNA". It matches the Rfam family "Bacterial small subunit ribosomal RNA", at positions 30 to 507 of the family's 1533-position model. The record is from RNAcentral.
AUUGAACGCUGGCGGCAUGCCUUACACAUGCAAGUCGAACGGCAGCACGGGAGCAAUCCUGGUGGCGAGUGGCGAACGGGUGAGUAAUAUAUCGGAACGUGCCCAGUCGUGGGGGAUAACGUAGCGAAAGCUACGCUAAUACCGCAUACGAUCUACGGAUGAAANCGGGGGAUCGCAAGACCUCGCGCGAUUGGAGCGGCCGAUAUCAGAUUAGGUAGUUGGUGAGGUAAAGGCUCACCAAGCCGACGAUCUGUAGCUGGUCUGAGAGGACGACCAGCCACACUGGGACUGAGACACGGCCCAGGCUCCUACGGGAGGCAGCAGUGGGAAUUUUGGACAAUGGGCGCAAGCCUGAUCCAGCAAUGCCGCGUGCAGGAUGAAGGCCUUCGGGUUGUAAACUGCUUUUGUACGGAACGAAACGGUGAGCUCUAAUACAGUUUGCUAAUGACGGUACCGUAAGAAUAAGCACCGGCUAACUACGUG